Molecule: ribosomal RNA, 430 nt
Filed under: uncultured bacterium
Lineage: Bacteria
Description: bacterial SSU rRNA
Rfam family: Bacterial small subunit ribosomal RNA
Source: RNAcentral
AUUGAACGCUGGCGGCAUGCCUAACACAUGCAAGUCGAACGGCAGCACGGCAGUAGCAAUACUGUGGGUGGCGAGUGGCGGACGGGUGAGGAAUACGUCGGAAUCUGCCCAGUCGUGGGGGAUAACUAGCCGAAAGGUUAGCUAAUACCGCAUACGACCGAGAGGUGAAAGCGGGGGACCGCAAGGCCUCGCGCGAUUGGAUGAGCCGACGUCGGAUUAGCUAGUUGGUGGGUAAAGGCCCACCAAGGCGACGAUCCGUAGCUGGUCUGAGAGGAUGAUCAGCCACACUGGAACUGAGACACGGUCCAGACUCCUACGGGAGGCAGCAGUGGGGAAUAUUGGACAAUGGGCGCAAGCCUGAUCCAGCAAUGCCGCGUGUGUGAAGAAGGCCUUCGGGUUGUAAGUACACUUUAUUCUAGGAACGAAAGAC